RNAcentral lists this ribosomal RNA (449 nucleotides) under uncultured bacterium. RNAcentral's name for it is "partial 16S ribosomal RNA". It matches the Rfam family "Bacterial small subunit ribosomal RNA", at positions 29 to 523 of the family's 1533-position model. The record is from RNAcentral.
AACGAACGCUGGCGGCAGGCUUAAUACAUGCAAGUCGAGCGGGCACUUCGGUUUCAGCGGCGCACGGGUGCGUAACGCGUGGGAACAUGCCCUUAGGUACGGAACAACACAGGGAAACUUGUGCUAAUACCGUAUAAUAUCUCCGGAUCAAAGAUUUAUCGCCUAAGGAUUGGCCCGCGUUAGAUUAGGUAGUUGGUGGGGUAAUGGCCUACCAAGCCGACGAUCUGUAGCUGGUCUGAGAGGAUGAUCAGCCACACUGGAACUGAGACACGGUCCAGACUCCUACGGGAGGCAGCAGUAAUGAAUAUUGGACAAUGGGCGAAAGCCUGAUCCAGCCAUGCCGCGUGAGUGAUGAAGGCCUUAGGGUUGUAAAGCUCUUUUAGAUGGGAAGAUAAUGACUGUACCAUCAGAAUAAGCCCCGGCUAAAUUCGUGCCAGCAGCCGCGGUAA